UUUAAAUAGCUGCGGUAAUUUAACUGUACAAAGGUAGCAUAAUAAUUAGUCUUUUAAUUGAGGUCUAGAAUGAACGGUUUAACAAAAUAAAAACUUUAUUAGUUUAAUAAAAUUUAAAUUUAAUUUUGUAGUUAAAAAGCUAUAAUAAUUAAUUGGGACGAUAAGACCCUGUAGAUCUUAAAUUUAUAAAAUAAUUUUUUUUUUUUGUUUUUUUAAAAAUAUUAUUUUGAAAAUUUUUGUUGGGGUGACAUUAAAAUUUUUACAACUUUUAAUUUUAUAUUCAUUAAUAAAUGAGUCUAUGAUCCUGACUUUUAGAUUAAUAGAUUAAGAUACCUUAGGGAUAACAGCGUAAUAAAUUUGGAUAGUACAUAUUGAUAAAUUUGUUUACGACCUCGAUGUUGAAUUAAUUAAAAUUUUUAAAGUAGAAGUUAAAAAAUUUGGGUCUGUUCGACCUUUAAUUAAUUACG
RNAcentral lists this ribosomal RNA (467 nucleotides) under Belocera sp. nov. XHH-2010. RNAcentral describes it as "partial 16S ribosomal RNA". The stretch from base 340 to 467 matches the Rfam family "Bacterial large subunit ribosomal RNA", at positions 2473 to 2600 of the family's 2925-position model. The record is from RNAcentral. Lineage: Eukaryota; Metazoa; Arthropoda; Insecta; Hemiptera; Delphacidae.